AAUAAACCGUUGAGCGAGAGUAGUAAGCUUGUAACGAUGUUCCAGAGAGCCGCCGGUUGCUGAAAAGGCGGUAACAUCCGACCAUGCCGAAUGGACUCGCGAGGGUGGCCCGAAAUCUUCAGGAGAGUAGGUGUCAACGGGGUUUCUGCCCGUUACCACGGAACACGUAUGUUAGUACGUAGUAUGAGUGGGCGCGUUUCGCGUCAACUCGGGUGGUACCACGAAAGUUAUUUCGUCCCGAGA
Molecule: non-coding RNA, 243 nt
Filed under: uncultured Eubacteriales bacterium
Lineage: Bacteria; Bacillati; Bacillota; Clostridia; Eubacteriales
Description: uncultured Clostridiales bacterium T-box
Rfam family: T-box leader
About the family: Uncharged tRNA acts as the effector for transcription antitermination of genes in the T-box leader family. T-boxes are found upstream of many aminoacyl-tRNA synthetase genes and some amino acid biosynthetic genes usually in Gram-positive bacteria. The anticodon of a specific tRNA base pairs to a specifier sequence within the T-box motif, and the NCCA acceptor tail of the tRNA base pairs to a conserved bulge in the T-box antiterminator hairpin.
Source: RNAcentral